Molecule: long non-coding RNA, 3307 nt
Filed under: Equus asinus (donkey)
Lineage: Eukaryota; Metazoa; Chordata; Mammalia; Perissodactyla; Equidae
Description: lncRNA (ENSEASG00005030000.1)
Source: RNAcentral
GCCUGAUGGUGGAGUCCGCCACUGAGGAGGGACCCAGCUGACCUUCCCGAAUGUGUCUGGAACCCAGAGUCACUGCAGAGCCCACGGACCCAGAGGGGAUGGGCUGGGUACUAAGUGGGCCCUGGGAUGUGACCCACCAUUAGCUUAUUAAAAUUGAACUAUUUACAUUACUUUUGACAUAGAUGGGGCAUAAAUAAGACAUUCAUAGCACACAAAAGGUUUUUUUAAACGUUAUUUUUUAUAUACCUUCAAUACAGGAUAUCUUGUUUGAUUUCACAGAUGAGACCGAAAUAGUGAUCCCUUAAAAUGAUAUUGCUGGAACGACAGGGAAGAUGGCAGAGUAGGAAGCACAAGGUGUUUCUCUACCUGGACAACAACUGCACUGGCAGAAGCUGUCUAAUGUAACUAGUAUGGAACUCUGGAGUCUACUGAAGGCUUGUAACAUCCAGGGAAAGGCUUGGACAGUAGAGCGAGCAAGGUACCAGCCAGCCAUCACCCACCCGCAGCCCCCACAGCAGGUUGGGAUGCAGCCUCACUCCUUGUUCCUUGAGCAGCAAGCUCACAGCUUGCAGGAGCCAGAGUGGGCAUACAAGCCCUGUCCUCCAAAUCUCAGGGAUCUGUGUUCUGAUUGCUGAUUCCUGCUUCUGAUCAUGGAGGUGCAGACAGAGGAGAGCAGCCAUGUUGCAAUUCUAACCACUAUCAUUGCAAACCCCACCCCCUCCAUGUAAAGAGACUUCUAGGAGAUUUCAAGGGCCAGUGCCUGUUUAUUAUUUUCUUCAUUUUUCCCUAUUUUCCCCUUUUGGAUCACAGAUAUUUAAGGACUAGGACAUUGGAAAGCAAUCAUACACACAGGAGAAUUUGAAAAGUUACCAUGAGUGACCAGGAAAAGGUGCAAGAUCAGAAGAGACCUCAGAAGACUUUAAAUUCACACCUCAGGCUGAUUCCUGACAGAGAGAAACCCUACAACAAGGAGAAUUAAACCUCAGCAAACCCUGAGAAAGGGAAGAAUCUGAGUCUUGGAGUUACCACCUUAUAAUAUUCAAAUGUCAAGUUUUCAAUAAAAUAAUCACAAGGCGUACAAAGAAAGGAAAGUAUUUAUAUUGAACCUGCAGUGAGUUUGCUCACCGGUUGUGCAGCAAGCCAAUCUCAGACACUGGGUGUUGUGGAAGAAAGCAGGAAUUUUAUUAUUGCACAGCACUGAGCAAAGAGAGAGGGCAGCUAAUGCUGAAAUCCCAAACUCCCCAAAAACCUAAAAGGAAGGGUUUUUAUUUGGGGUUUUAGGUAGGGGAGGGGGAGCAUAUGGCCUUGCUGGUUGGAGCUUUCCCAGCAGCCUGUCUUUGGCCUUGAGACACUUGCAGAGAGGAGGGAGCCUGUGACCUUGCUGGUCAGCAGCUUUCCCAACAGCCUAUAUCUCUUUGUGGGGAGAAGGAGGAGGAGAUAAUGAAUCCAGGUGGUUAUCCUUGGCUGUGUCUGUCUCCAUGGAGGAUAGUGAAUUCUGGAGCCAGAAAGCCAGGGAGUAAGCAGGGAAAGAGUGUUUUGGUUUUAACUCCAUAUAUGCUGGGUUUAAUGUAGGGGAACUGAUAUUAGGGUCAGUAUCAGUAUGGCCAAUUAAUGGAAAAUUAAUUGAAAAAUUAAUGGAAAUUAAUUAAUGGAAAAAAAUAAAUCAAGAGAAACCAUCCCUGAGAAAGACCAGAGGGUGAACUUACUAGCCAAAGCCUUUAAAACAGCUAUCUCAAAGAUCCCAAAGUGCUAAAAGAAGAUGCAAAGUCAAGGAAGCAAUGUAUGAACACAAAUGGAAAUAUCAGUAAAGAGACAGAAAACAUGAAAAGGAACCAAAAAGACAUUCAGGAGAUGAAAAGGACAAUAACUGAAAUGGAAAAUUCUCUAGAGGAUUUAAAAGCAGAUUUGAGCAGGCAGAAGAAAGAAUCAUUGAAUUUUAGGAUAGGACAAUUGAAAUAAUCAAGGCCAAGGAGCAGAAAGAAAAAAAGAUUGAAGAAAAGUAGUGAACAGAGCCGGGUGACCCACGGACACCUUCAAGUGGACCAACAGACGCACUGUGGGAGUCCCAGAAGGAGAAGAGAGCAGGAAAGGGCAGAGAGGUUACUUGAAGAAAAAAAUGGUUGAAAACCUUCCAAAAUUGAUGAAAGACAUGAAUAUAAACAUUAGAGAAGCUCAAUAAACUUCAAGUAGGAAAAGUGGAAGAGAACCAAGACACUUUACAACCAAACUAUCGAAAGCCAGAGACAAAGACAGAUUAUUGUAAGUAGCAUGAGAGAAAUAACUUGUUCCAUAACAGGGUCCUCAAUAAGAUUUCAAGCAGAUUUCUCAUCAGAAACCUUGCAGGCAGAAGGUAAUGGAUUGAUAUAGUCAAAGUGCUGAAGGGAAAAAACUGUCAACCAAGAAUCCUAUAUCUGGCAAAGCUGUGCUUUAUAGGUGGGAAAUUAAGACACUCACAAUUAAAAUCUGAGGGAUUUUGUUUCCUCUAGACCUGCCCUGAAAGAAAUGAUAAGGGAAUCCUUCCGGUUGAAAUGAAAAUACACUAGACAGUAACAUGAAGAUGUGAAGAAAUAAAGAUGUCUGGUAAAAGACUCAUCACAAGGCAAACAAUAUGCCUGACCCGCCACUCACCAAGUGUGACUAUGGGUAAAACAUUCACCUGCUUGAACCUCAGGCUCCUCAUCUGUAAAACGAUUUUAUAACUGUUUGUAAUGUCGACUGAUCCAAUAAGGACAAGUGAGAAAUCUGUUCCUUAUUAAAAUGUCAGGUAACCUUGAAGCAAUGUCCCACACUCUGUGCGGCUGAACGGGAUCCACACAGAACUUGGGGCAUCAGGGGAGGCCGCUUGUCUCUACACAACUCAGGUGUUCAUUACCAGACGUGAGGCCAGCCAGCCUCCUGCACCGCUGUAGUGAAGGAAAAUCCCAGCCUGGCUCUUCUGGAGUUAUCGGGCGGCUUUUCCCUCUCGUUUUCUCUGGGACCUCACAACACUGAUUAUUAGUGUCACCCCCGGAUCCUUCUCCUGUCUCUCUGCUCACACAUUAAUAGAAGGCUCUCGAUAGGUUCAGGUCUCUCCAGUCCUUCAAAAAUGACCACAGGACCCUACAAUUCACCUACUGUUCUCCCUCUCAAUGCACAACAAACUCUGUCUGUUUCCAAACUGGACUAAGUGUUUAUAUACAAAGGUGGAACCGGGUGGUCUGAGACAUGGUGAUACGGAGAAUUUUUGUGCGCGUUUUAUGUGUACAAUUUGGUGAGUUUGGACAUACGCAUAUGCCCAUGAUACUAUCACCACAAACAAGGUAAUAAA